Molecule: ribosomal RNA, 777 nt
Filed under: uncultured Neocallimastigales
Lineage: Eukaryota; Fungi; Neocallimastigomycota; Neocallimastigomycetes; Neocallimastigales
Description: partial large subunit ribosomal RNA
Rfam family: Eukaryotic large subunit ribosomal RNA
Source: RNAcentral
CGAGCACGCGCGUGUGGCAUAUCAAUAAGCGGAGGAAAAGAAACUAACAAGGAUUCCCUUAGUAACGGCGAGUGAAGCGGGAAGAGCUCAAAUUUGAAAUCUUCAAGGGUUCUACCUUGACGAAUUGUAGUUUAUAAGAAGUGUUUUCUGUUAGUAGAGGUGGCAAAAGUUCUUUGGAAUAGGACAUCAUAGAGGGUGAGAAUCCCGUAUUUGGUCAUUCUUUCUAGCUUUGUGAUACACUUUCAACGAGUCGGAUUGUUUGGGAAUGCAGUCCAAAAUGGGUGGUAAAUUUCAUCUAAAGCUAAAUAUUGGCGAGAGACCGAUAGCGAACAAGUACCGUGAGGGAAAGAUGAAAAGAACUUUGAAAAGAGAGUUAAACAGUACGUGAAAUUGUCAAAAGGGAAGCGUUUGACACCAGUGUUGUUUUUCCGAAAAUCAAUUACGAAUGUUUUGUUUUUGAGAAGUUAUGACUUCAUCGGCUUGCUUCUCUCUUUACGAAACUUUCUUAAUGCACUUUUCGGUUAACAAGUCAACAUCAAUUUCUUUUGUUGUAAAAGGGUAUGAGGAAGGUGGCUUUCUUUUCGGAGAAAGUGUUUAUAGCCUUGUGCCUCUGCAAUCGGAGAGAUUGAGGUCUGCAGCGUAGAUCCUUCGGGGUUAGAUACAUUUGUGCUAAGUUAUAGCUUUUCAUAGACAACUUGUUGACUAUGUUUAGUCUUGUAGCUUACUCGCUUAUGCUAUUUUACCUACGCUUAGGAUGUUGAUGUGAUACUGCGAGCA